RNAcentral lists this long non-coding RNA (1981 nucleotides) under Piliocolobus tephrosceles (Ugandan red Colobus). Its description in RNAcentral is "lncRNA (ENSPTEG00000005899.1)". Lineage: Eukaryota; Metazoa; Chordata; Mammalia; Primates; Cercopithecidae. The record is from RNAcentral.
AAUUAGAUUGUGCAAAUGGUGAUAAUGAUACAUGCAUGGUAGAUGAAAAUGGGAGCUUAGUUAGCAACAUACGUAGUAACAUAAGUAGUAACAUAAGUAGUAGCAUAAAUAGUAGCAUAAAUAGUAGCACUAUAGAAUGUGUGAAUGAUAACGGAAAUAUAAAAGAAAACAGUAUUUUACCAAUUAAAUUUUUAUCUAAUAGUUAUAAUUCGUUACAUUAUAAAACUAAGUAUAUGUUAUACGUAGAUAAUAAACAAAAUAGACAAAUCGAAUUUGACUUAAAACCAAUUCAACCGUUAGUAUUUUUUAACACUUCUUGUAUAUAUAUAGAUAAUUUAUUAUUAGAAAAAAGUUAUUGUUUUGUUUUUUUAUAUAAUAAACUUUGAUUUUGUUGACAUGAAUUUUGAAUUUGAUAAAAACUCGUAUAGCUCCUUCAAUAGUCAAAAAGAUACAAUUAAAAUAGUGCCAUCGAAGGGAACUGUAAAGUCUUGUUACAAAUGGGAAAAACGUAAUCAGUAUGGAACGCUUGACACUAAUGCUAAGAAUUUACAAAGUGAGUCAUUCUCAACAAAAGAUGAUGAAAAAAACAGAAAAACCGAACUAACAGGUUUCCGUUCUGCAGACUCGGACUACAUAAUUGGUGUUUUAAGUAGUGGAUUUAGUAGUAGCCAUACUGUUAAUAGUGAUAAAACUGUUAAUAGUAGUAAAACUGCUGUUAGUAGUAAAACUACUGUUAGUAGUAAAACUAUUGUUAGUAGUAAAACUAUUGUUAGUAGUAAAACUAUUGUUAGUAGUAAAACUGUUGUUAGUAGUAAAACUGCUGUUAGUAGUAAACAUAUAAACAAGUUUAAGAUUAAUUAUUUAUCGGAUAGUAGUUCAAAAAGUAGUAAGCGAUAUAGUGAUUAUAGUACUGUUGGUAGUGGUAGCUGUUUCAAUUCAUUCCAGAAUAAGUCGCCAAACAUAUCUGUUGUCUCAUCUAACUCCUAUUAUUCUUCAUCUUCUUCUUUUUCGGAUGCAAAAUGGAAAAAGAAUGAAAAAGAGAAUGAGUCAGGGUUUGACGAUACAUCGGAAGUUUUAUUACCAGCUCGUAAUAAUACCCUAAUAGAUAAAUGGGAAUACAUAAAUACGUCGUGCGAAUCUGAUAGCACAUCAUCCUUGUGGUCGUUAGAAAAUACCAACGAACGUGAUGAAUAUGACAUGAAUUGUACAUAUAAAUUUUAUCUUAUUAAUUAUUAUUUACAACAUUUAGGAAUAGCGAAUGAUGAAAAGCUUAAAAAAGAAAUGAAAAAAAUGCUUGGAAAAGGGCUAGGUAAAAAAAUCAAAAUAUUAUUUAAGCCUCACUUAGAACAAUUUUAUAAUUUUAAUUUGUUGUGCAAUAUUGAUAAAAAAGAAGAGCCAUUAAAAUUAAAUUUAAAAACUAAAGUUGGAAAGCUUAAUAUACAAUGUUACAUUAAAAACUCUGAUAAUGAAAAAACUUUUUUGGAAUUAAAAAAUGUAAAACAUAGUAAACAUAGCAAACAUAGCAAACAUAGCAAAAAUAAGACACAAAAGAAAAAGAACGGAAAAGAUGAUUUGAUACAUGUACAUUGUACACUAGAUUUUAAAGAAACGUUAGUAGGGAAUAAAAAAAUAUCACAUAUUGUAAUAGACAAUUUCUGUGAUUUUGAUUUAUUUUAUAAAUAUUAUUUACAUAAAAAGAUAAAGAUAUAACCAUUCAAUGUAAUAAUGAUUAUAUUAUUAAAAAUUCCACUUUUUCUAUUGCUGUUCAAUAUAUACCAUCAAAAAAUAGAACUUAUGUAAAUUACUUAUUACUUAAUAUAAGAGAUUAUUAUUUAAUACAUUUUAAAAUUACUGCAAUUGCUAUUAAUUUUAUGCUUAAAUUUUCAUUUUACAACUAUAAUUUUGGUAAUGUUAUAUUAUUUCCUAUAAUAGAUAAAAAAACUAUUAAGGUAAAAAAUAUGUGUGCUUAUUCAAAGCAAUA